GCCCGGGUGGCGGAAUUGGUAGACGCGCUAGAUUCAGGUUCUAGUGGCCGUAAGGUCGUGGAAGUUCGAGUCUUCUCUCGGGCACCA
Molecule: transfer RNA, 87 nt
Filed under: Magnetospirillum sp.
Lineage: Bacteria; Pseudomonadati; Pseudomonadota; Alphaproteobacteria; Rhodospirillales; Rhodospirillaceae
Also listed under: 3 other names
Description: tRNA-Leu
Rfam family: tRNA
About the family: Transfer RNA (tRNA) molecules are approximately 80 nucleotides in length. Their secondary structure includes four short double-helical elements and three loops (D, anti-codon, and T loops).
Source: RNAcentral